CCACUGCGAAACCAGGGAAAGGGACAUGCACAACUGGGGCAAUGGUCCUGGAGAUGAUCAAGGAUGUCGAGAUAGCGAUUUCGUGCAGGAAAGGCCGGUCGGGGACUGCUGCCGGAGAUGUUGCAUUCCCAAAAGAUGUAGCUUUCCCAAAGGGAAAAGAGAACCUGGCGUCCGUCCUGAAACGGUACAAGCGACGGCUUUCAAACAAGAAAUGAGAGUGCAGCUGGUAGAGAGCCUCUAGAAUUGGUCAAGCUUAGAAUGUUUUGAAGUUGGUGACUCAGAUGAUUUUUAAAAGAGAUGGAAUGUGAAACGAGAAGAUUGUUUUUUUUUGGGUCUCUGGUUUCUCGAUCUCACUUGUAACAGAAACAAACGAUACAAACAGCAGUAGAGAUUGGUGACUGCCUUUUGUCUUUAAUCUAUGUCUCAUAUCAUGGACCCGCUUCUGGUGCUGAAGCAAUUAUAACCAUCUGAUCACUUUUUAUUCAGCCAUUUCUAAUUUAACGGCUCAAAUUUUGGUGGGCUAUUUGGGAAUUACAUUUUCCCUAGUAUUUUUUAGACUAAUAUAACUUUUUGAAUUUAAGUUCAAUUUUUAUGUUAGUUUUAUAGAAAGACUUAUUUUUCAAAGAAGAAUUUAAUGAGAUCAAUAUUGAUUUUAUUUUGAUGAAUUUUUUAAAAAUACAUGUUUUUAUCUUAUUCCGAGCAUAUCUCUUCCGUUUUAACCUUCUUGAUAUGGAAAUGUUCGUCUUUCAAACACGAAUAUAAUAAUAACAAUAUUGGGAAGUAUUUGAGAAAUUUUAAAAAUGUGUAUUGUUAGAAGCGAUAUCUCGUAUUUUGAGGGGGAGUUUAUCACUUCAUUUUGAGGGAGACUCGCCGUAGGUCAUAUUCCGUCGUUAAAUGUAUAUAUUAGGAACAUGAGGUGCUCCAUACCUCCAAGUUGUUAAUAACUGCAGGAAGUUCCUCAAUAAUUACGUCCAAAUUUCUGAUAACUACAUUUUCUCCUAUAUAUCUAGCUUACAUUUAAGUUGUUAAUAACUACGGCUAUAUUGCUAAUACCUACUUCUAAGUUGCUAAUAACUAUGUCUACUUCAAAUUUUCUAAUACCUACCUCUAAAUUAGUAAUAACUACCUCUAAAUUGGUAAUAACUACGGAAAGUUUCUCAAUAAUUACGUGUAAAUUGUUAAUAAUUACGAUUCUCACCCUUAUAUCUACCUAUGUUUAAGUUGCUAAUGCAUAUGCGUAAGUUGCUGAUGCAUAUGUGUAAGCUUCUAAUAACUACGUCUACCUCUAAGUUGUCAAUAACUACAUCAAAGUAGCUAAUAACUACCUCUAGAUUGGUGAUACUUAAAAAGUCUAGUUUUGAGCAGUCAACCUACGUCUUUGACCUCAAUUUUUUUUUGUCAAACCCUAUCAAUAUUGUGCUAGUUUGAAUUGCCUUUGAAAAACUAAGAUUUUGGUGCGAAAAUUAUUAGAAUCCGAGUUCGUAUGUAAAAGAUAUUGAUUUAAUAUAAAAUGGGGGAAUUUUUUUUCCCCGAUGAAUACUUGUAGGCUUUUAUUCAUCGAUUAUGCAGGCUUUCAAAACUGGACAGCACCGGCGUGAGGAGUUCAGUAUAUAAAUCUAUCUACUAAAAAAUAGUCAAAGGACUAUCUUCUACCACUAUCUACAACUUUCAUAUCUCUACAAAUGUUUUUAGCAAUGUUAACCGCCGGAGUUGUAGCUUUCCCCGCAUUUCGCCUACACCUCUCAUACCACACAUUACUAUAUAUAGCUCUCCACAUAUGUCUAGAAGAACGACACAGAAGAAUCAUCACUAGAGUACAAAUUUGCAAUUCUUGAAACUUCCUCCUACAAACUAGGCAUGCAGUAAGAGCAAUCUCCUUGAUAAUAACUUUUGAUUUGCUUCACAAAAUCACAUCCAGCAAAAAGAUGAUCCAAAUCAUCAAUUUCAUCAUCACACAUUAAGCAAGAAAUAUCAACAGUCAUACCCCAGGUAGUCAUUUGAGCUCGAGUAAUCAGCCUUCCCCGAAUUACAAGCCAAAUGAUGAAAUAUUAUUUACUGAUGGCAGGUCUCCCCCAAACCAAUCUAUACCAUUCAACUUGAACUCCCUUCUUCCUCACUGCUUCCCAGACCAAAGAAACCAAGUAUCUUGACAUCAAUUACUAGGCUAGUUACUGUUGGAGAUUUCACUCAACAAUGGGUACCGAAAAGGUGGUUCCUUUCCUAGAAACGAAACCUUGUUGACAGAACACAAAAUCGUUUGUUCCCAAGAAGUAAGGGAGUCACAAGGACUACUUAAAUCCCUACAACCUUAGGAAUCAUUUCUUUAGAAUACCCAAGUUGAGAACUUCGUGUACAACAAUGUUCCAGAGAACUUAGGGGGGUCUUGGAUCGUGACGGAAUUGUGGAUACCACUUUCCAAAGAGAAUAUUUCGACCCUUAUAAGUCUUGGGUUACACGAAAUCUCUCCCGAGGAUACGACUAUCACCACUCUUAUUCUUAGACUCAAGAGAUAAGAGUAAAAUCUUGAAAACCUUUGGAGAAAGAUUACUCCAUAACUUUUAUUAUCAACGUACUUUCAUUUGUUGAAUGCUUUGUGUAGUGUAUGGAGAAUGCAUAUAACAUUGGUGUCCCCUUUCUCCAACCCACUCCACCCCUAUUUGUACUUGGGAUGGUCUUCCAUAUUCAUCCCUUUAUGAAGGGUGUGUCCAUCCAAACAAAAAGGGAGGGAAAAUGUGUUGUUUGGCCAUUUUUGAAUGGUGUCUUUUAGUUCAAAUCAAAAGAUAACUAACCUUUUUGGAGAGAAAAGGAGGGUGACGAUCCAUAGGGAUAUAACCAUCCUUAUCCACUCAAAUUUUAACUCAAAUAGGAGUGGAAAUUUCGUCACAUCAGGUGGGAAGACAAGCUUUCACCUACACUUCUCACUAGCUCACUUUAGCUCCCGAAACUGUGUCACUACCUUCUGAGCUCAACUUGAGCUUGGUAUUCUUUAGUGAAACUCUGCUAACUCAUUUCCAACUUAGCUCAAAGUUUUUUGAGCUAAUGUUAACUAGAGUUAGCUAGGAUAAUCAUGAGUUAAGCCAUGAUUAGCUGAGGUAGAGCCAUCACUACCACAAGGCAAGUGUUGCUACUACUCGUACCUAAUCAUAAGCUUCUCAAACCUAAUUAGAGCUACUUAAUGAUUGUAAUAACAAUAAUUAAGUCACCAUGAGCUACUCAUAGCUUAAAUGAAUAAUCAUAAAGCUACUAUCACAUAGCUUUGAGCUACACUUAGGUGCGUAAAGUCAUCAUGAGCUAACUCUAGCUACCAUGAGAUGUUUCUAGCUGCUUUGAGCUAACUUUGAUUUACUUCUAGCUCUGUUGAGCUAGUACCAAGCAAUCAAGUUCCUCCUCCAUGCUUAUUCAAACUUCAUUGAGCUACUUAUCAAGUACUUCAACCCGCAACAUUACAACAUAAUGUUAUAAACAACCAAAAUCGAGUUUAAGCAACUAAAGUUACUAAAUCUCCCAAUGUUACUUUUGAUCCAAGUAAGAUUGAACCAUGUUACUUUAAGUUCAAGUAACAUAAUAUCCAACAGUUACUAUCAUUAAAGGAGAUAAGAUGACGAACUUUGUCUCUAGCAUGCAAAAUUCUCUUCCAAACCCAAGAAUGAUAAGUAGCUGCAGUACAUCUCAGAAAAAGGCUUCCUCUUAAGUCUGUACUCCUUCAUCCAAACUAUCCAAAGAGAGCCCGAUUGCAGAAGAAUACUUCAAACAUGCCUAACAAUACAUGCCAAAUUCCAAUUAAUCAAAUUCCUAACCCAAAGCCCACCUUGAUUCAAGGGUAUGGUUGCAAAUUUCCAAUCAACCUUUGCUCUUUUCCCACCCCUUCACCCACAUUUCAUAGGAAAUCGUUGCAAACUUUUUCCACAGUCUUUAUCACAAUUUUAGAAAGGAGGAAAACUGAGAAUCAAUAUUGACUCAUUGGAUUCAGAACUGAGUUUACCAAUUGAAGCCUACCAGCGUAGCUAAAAACCUCAACUUUCCAAUUAUUAAUUCUAGCUGUGAUUUUUCCAACAACCACAUCACAGUCCCUCGUUGAGAGUUUACCUGAGAUGAGUGGUGCUCCCAAGUAUCUGACAGGGAGGUGCCCUUCCUUGAAGCCUAUAGAAUCAAUAAUGGCUUGCCUCAUAUUCAAAUCAACUAAAAUCGAGAAGAAAAUCCCUACUUUUUCUGGGUUGAGCUUCAGACUAGAAUAUCUGUAAAAAUCAUUCACCACUUCACAAAUGUCAUGAACUCCUUCUUUUGUCCCAUUAGUAAACAUCAAUAAAUCAUCAAUAAAGUAGAGUUGGGUGAUUCCAAACUUCUUACACUUGUUAGAGAAUAUUACCUUUGUUAGCAGCAUCCACCACCAAAUAAUGAAGCAGUUUCAUUGAGAUGACAAACAAAGCCGGUGACAAAGGGUCACCUUACCUUAGAACUUUGCCUCUUUCAAAAUAACCCACUAAACCUCCAUUGAUAUCAACACUCAACAUAACUGAAUCAAGACAGCCUCUGAUCCAAUUAAUAAACUACAUGGAGAACCCCAUUGCUUGCAUCACAAUCAUCAAAUACCUCAAAUCCACUGAGUGAAAGGCUUUCCUUAAGUCAAUUUUUACAACACAUCUUGGAGAGACAUUAUUGAGAUGAUAGGCGUUUACUAAAUCAUGCGCAAGUAAAAUGUUAUCACCAAUCAUUUUUCCUUUUACAAAUGCUGAUUGAGUAUUACUAAUGACCUUGGGAAGGAAAUUCACCAUUCUUCCUACGAAGAUCUUCACAAUCACUUUAUACAGAACAUUGCAACAAGCAAUAGGUCUAUAAUAUUUGAUAUUAGUAGCAUUGAUCUUCUUCGGAAGGAGAAUAAGAGCAGUGGAAUUCACAACACUAGGCAGUUUACCACAAGAGAAGAACAUCUUGAUCACUUCAACAACAUCAUCCCUAAUCAGAUCCCAAGCAUCCUUAAAGAAACCGGCUGAAUAACCAUCUGGACUAGGGCUCUUUCCAUCAGGAAUAUGGAAGAGAGCAUUUAUGAUUUGCUCCAAAUUAACUGGUUCACAAAUGGACUUAGCACGCUCAUCUGACUGUUUCUUGCAUAACAAGCCAUUUAUAGAUUUCACAAAAUAAUGCAGUACUUCUGUAUUGACCUCUCCCAACAGGUUCUUAUAAAAAUUGAUUGCAAUAUUUAAAAUGUCAUUAAUGUUUGUAACCAUCUCACUCGUGGCAUCUUCCAUCUGAAAAACUUGAUUUCUCGACUACCUCACCUUUAUGGAAGAAUCCCCUAACUUCAACCAUUUCCCCCUACUUUUUGCUUCAAGAAAGCUUCUUCAACAACCUUCAACUCCAACCAUACUACAUAACUUUCUUUUGCUUUUAGCAUAUUUUCAGCAUUAGGAUCAGUAAGCAUUACACAUUAAUCAUUCUUCAUAAUUUGCUCAACAGCGACCACUCUAUUGCUAAUUCAAAAAAAAGCCUCCUAUUGAACUGAUUGAGAGCAUUUUUAACAUUACGAAGACAACUAUAGACUCUCUCAAACCCUCUUUUAUGAAAACAAGCAUCAAAAGAAUAUCAUGUAUGAGUGAUAGUUUCCUUAUAUCCCACACUUUCAAUCCAAAAGUUGAAAAUUUGAAAGGCUUAGGGAUAUUUCUAAGAUUGAGCUCAGUAUCAAGCAAGAUUUCACAAUGGUCAGAAAUCCCUGGCUCAAUCAUCUCCACUCUACUACUAGUAAAAUCAUUUAACUAGUAAGCAUUAACAAAACAUCUGUCCAAUCUCCUAACAAUAGGGUCAUCAAUCCUAUUAUUAUGCCAUGCAAAGAAAGAACCAGCAACAUAGUGAUCUUCAAGGUUAUUACUAUUAAUCCAACUCUGAAAUUCUUGCAUCCCAUUUGUAACACUUACUUCGGUAGAGGCUUCAUUCGGGGAAGCAAUCACAUUAAAAUCUCCUAAAAUUGCAAGGGGAAGAUCGGUAGGUAACCUUCCAAGGCUUUGGUUGUACAUCCUACUUCUUUCCAAAGGCUUAUUUGCCCCAUAAACCAUACAAAAAUGGCUUUGCUCCUUCAAUUAGUUCACAAGAGAAGGCUUAAAUGUAAAGGUUUGUAUCCUUAAAGACAAAGAUGAUAUAUGCCCAGAGAAUAUUGUCAUAAAUUUGGAUGGUCAGCGUAUCUCUAUACCAAUUGAAAUUCCCCAAAAAAGAAUUUAUGAAGUAAGGAAACAAGCACCACAACAGAAGCAAUAGAGGCCGAAGACCCAGCCAAUCACUUUUUUGUCUGCUGGUCAAGCUGAGGGAGUUAGUGAUGAACCUUCUUUGCAAGGAAAGUCACCGUCCCUCACCGAAACUAAUGAGACAAUGGCUGGAGGGGUUGAAAACACUGAGGUUGACACUUCUAAAGUGGAAACUGGUGAAUGUGAUUAGCAAACAUUGUUAGCUGAAACUUCCCAGCAAGUGGAGACUACGUACUUGUACCAUAAGGAUCCGUUGACCGGGCAUAUUAAAGAGGUGAUUACUUUUGUGGUUCAUAAUGCUUUAAAAAGACACCAUUGAUGAAUCUGCACAAGAAAUUGAGAAAGAAAAGAUAAUUGUUGAAAAUCCUGAUGUUCUUCAUUAUUGCAUACUCUUAAAGAUUUUAUAGUGAAGGGAAGUAGAUCCCCUACAAAAAGUAAGAGGGAUAGAAAAAGAGGAAAAAUAAUUUGAUGAAAGUUCUAAUAUGAAAUCAGAGGGGGUUUAACUCCCCCACAAAGCAUAGUUAUAUAAAUAGUUAUAUAAAUAAGUAUAAUAUAGAUAUUGUAGGUAUUAUAGAGAUUAGAGUAAAGAGUAGUAAAGCAGAGAAAAUUUUGAAGAUUAAAUUUGCUAUUUGAAAGUUUUUUAUAAACUAUGAUUGUAACCCCUUGAGAAAAAUCUGGAUUAUCUAAAGAGAUUAUAUUCAGCUUCAAGUUUUGAAUCAUUCUGAGUAGUACAUUCUUAUAAAAAUAGAGGAAAAUUAAAUUAAAUUGAAAAAAAAAGAAGAAAAACAGAAAAUCUGAAGUUACUUUAUUGCCCCUCUAACUCAAACUUCAGCACCGGAAUCCUUCAACAGUAUACGCCGGGCCUCAUGUCCAUAGGUUUUUGCCAAUUUAAGAUAAAAAUCAAAACUAAACUUCCCCAGAAGCACAACACUUCCCAAGUUCCCCUGUUGUUAUUUGUUAGUAUGGAUAAGAGGCUCUCACGAGUCCAACUACCAAUUGUAUGUAUGUUGUUAUUGGGUCAUAAAUAUCCUGAUUUGUCAAAUUAUAUGUGUUGAACUUGUGAUUCAUUUAUCUCUACAAAAAUAUCAACUAGGGAUUGAAAUUGGAGAUAGAAAAAGAAAGAGAAACCAAUUCAAUUCAUCCUAUAUAAUGAUACCUCAAAAUUUCAUCUCGUAAUUACAACAGUAAAUACUAGAUAUGAUAACAAUAAAUAAGAGAUGCGAAUUCCGAAGUCCAGAAAGUAGAAUUAAGAUAGAAGGGAAAAAAAACCAUUUCGAAAUCCAGAAUUGAUUGCUAAAAUUAAUGAUUCCCGGAAAUUACGCGGAACCAUUGGAUCACUUGCAAAAGAAUUAAUAUCUCGUAUAUAUCCAGCUUCCGGCUACCAAACAACUCCGUCAGCCAAACUGUAAAGAACAAGUUUGUUGAGAGAGACUACUUGAGCUUGGAUUGUGGCAAAACUUAGCUCAAGGACCUAUGAAUCACAAGUUGAAGGAGCAAGAUGACUGAUCUCCAAACAUAGAAUCCAUCUACAACCAAAGGACAAGCAUGCUGCAAGCCAUAUCAAGCAAAACCAAGCAGGUAAGCUUCAACUUGGGAUUAAAAAUAUGUUUGACUAACUCGAUCAUUAUUAAACUUACAUUAUGUAAUUUUUUUAACUAGAUGCAACUAGUCUAUUUCUCAUUUAUGACCAUACGAUAUUCAAAAACAUCAAUUGCAUGCAUGUUAGUGGCAUCAAUAGCUCAACAAUGAAUCAAAUAAAAAAACAUUGUACACACCAAAACACAUAUGCGCUCAAUGUUAGCUAGGUAGUCAAUUAUAAAGUGUUUGUGGUCUACCUCCUUAAAUACGACAUAAUUCAUAUCAACAUUAAGUAAGUAGUAUGAGUGGGAUUGAAUUUGGAGAUAGAAAAAAGGAAAAUCAAUCCAAAAACAUCAUAAUGAUAUUGAUAGCUCAAACUCUUUUCCAAUAGUGAGAACCGCAAAUACAAGAUCUGACCAUAAUAAAUAAAAAAUACGAAUUCUGUACCAUAGAAUUUUAGCAUAAAAAAAAGAAAUCGUUUCAAAAUUGUGAAUCUAUUAUUAAAUUAAUGAUUUCCAAAAAGUAUGGGAAGCCAUUGGACCACUAUUUUUUUUAAAAUCUCGUAUAUAUCCAACCUCCCGCCACAGAACAACUCCGUCGGCCAAAGAACAACUUUUUGAGAGAUUACUUGAGCUUGGAUUGUCGCAUGGAGAACUUAGCUUAGGGACCGAUGAAUGACAAGUUGAAGGAGCAAGAGGACUGAUCUCAAGACAUAGAAUCCAUCUACUGCAAAUUUUCACUACCAAAACACAAGCAAGCCAUUACCAGUAAAACCACAGAUUCCAAGGAGAAAUAGUCAUUGGGUAAAAGUACAGCACAAAUCAAGUUCACCAGGUAAGCUUCAACUUCUAAUUAACUUGAUCAUGAUUAAGUUUACCGUUUGUAAUGUCUUCUUCACAGUUUACCUAUUUUUAAUCGUAAAAUUCUAAUCAAGUCCAUUAUAAAGUACAUUAUAGUGGAGUCAAUAGUUCAAUAAUGAAUCAAAUAAAAUAAUAUUUUAUACAUCUAAAGACAUUUCUGCCUAAUACUAAUUAAGUAAUCAAUUACAAUUACAGAGUUAUCUCAGUUGAUAUGAAUGAUUUUGAUCUUUCACACCUCUUUUAACAAUUUUUAAACCUGCACAAUCACCGUAGAGCAUUUGUGAUUUGCCUAGCUCCUUCACUCAAAUCGAAUUGUAAUCAUACUUUUCGAUAGCCUCACAUCCAAAUUAGAUUAAAAUUUCUUACAGCAGCCCUCAAUUUUGCAAGCUAAAACACUCCUAAAGAAAUAAAUUUUGUGACUUUGAUGAGAAUGGUUGAGGAAAACAAGAAAUCAGAAAAGGUCCCGCAAAACAUAAUAUUUAUCCUCUUUGGGUUUUGUCACAUUCAGUCCAUUUCAUUUUCUUUCUGCAACUUUUUCCCAGGAAACUGAGCUCUCUCUCCUUUAACCCGUUUCAGAUUCUCCAAGCUGAAAGAAAUAGCAGUACAAACACUUCUGUAGAAAAAGUUUCCUUUUUUAUAUUUUAUUCAUUUUGGGUCUGCGUGUGAAUAGUACUGCUUCAUCUUUCUCAUGAAGCCGUCUUUUUAGAUCUACUUGUGUGUGUGAGACAAUUGGAAGUUACUGUGUGCGAGAGAAGAAGGGUCAGAGUGGAGCUACAGAGAAAGAAGGUAACAGAAAAAGGAAACAAUCCACCUUCUUCUCUAAAACUACUCAAACCCUAUUACUCAUUCAAAUUCAUCCACCCUUUCUGCUUUGUUACGAAUUGUUUCAUUUCAUUGGUGGGUUGCUGGGUUUCAUUUGUGUUUUUUCUUUUUCUUUUUUGCAAUUUGACCUUAUGGAAGUCCUUGAAAUGGAGGUGCUUUCUAUUUGUCUCAUUUGGUGUGAUGGAUUGGUUCGGAUGGACGAUUCUUCACAGUCGUCGAUUUCUUGAUCAGUGGUGUUUAUGUUUCUGAAAAGUUGUCAUCUUUGGUCAAUUGAUGUCAUUUGAUUGAAUCUGCUGGUGUACUAGUUGAUGUAUCAUUUUUUCCGGCCAAUGGGGAACUUUUAAUGAGUAGCUGUUAUAUUAGACGGCUGCUUGUUUUGGCUUGUUGGCGAUAGUUUCAAAAAAAGUCAUAAUUUCCUGACUUGUAGGAGAUAAAGGCGAACAACCUUUGUUGAGGAGAAGAUUGCUAGCUUCCUAUGGUUCAUCAAUUCUCUGUGUUGUUUCAAUCUGUUAAUCAGUAAAGUUAGAACUUGUCAUUAGAGUGCAGUCCAUUUGGCUGGCUUAUACUUACUUAGUUGGUCUCUUAUCUCUACAUUACAUUGCUAAUUAGAAAGUGGUCCUUUGAUUUUCACCUUUUUCGUUGUUGUGUUGAAUUCAUCAGGGCUAAUACAAUAACGGGGUGAUAAAUCUCCUCAUCAGUGGCAGAAGUUCCAUUUGAGUUGGAUUAAAGUAUUUGUCAUGGUCAGGAGAUGAACAUAAUAUUUUAUACGGCAUCUUGUUUAACUUGCGGCAGUAAUCAAGUUAUCUCAGAUACAAUAGUUCGGUUCGUGUCUGAUGAUCACAGCUAGUGAAAGAGCUGGCUAGCAGAUGUCCAUGCUACAACUAUUACAUGAGGCGAUCUCAUCAGGGUUGAUUUGCUCAAUUGCAGCCGUGCGACUUCCUCCUGUAUAUAGUGUUAUUUAUCAAAGCCUGUAUAUACAUUUCUGAAACCGGUUAAGUCAUUGAUGCUCUUUUGGACGUUUAGCUGAGAGUUGGGAGAUUCCUCUGUUACAUUGAGGUGCUAAGUGUCAAACUGCAGCUGCGAUCACUUCAUUGCAGAGCUAUUUGGCAUAAUGAAUUCAGAAUCUGGAAAUGCUAACCAUAUAUUGGGUGUUCUUGGGAGGCUUCUUCCUGCCGUUGGACCCACGCUAUUGAUUUCAGUAGCAUAUGUUGACCCUGGGAAGUGGGCAGCCACUGUGGAAGGUGGUGCCCGUUUUGGAUUCGAUCUGAUCCUGCCAAUGCUCAUUUUUAAUUUGGCAGCAAUAUUGUGCCAGUAUCUGUCCGCUAAAGUCGGUAUUGUCACUGGUAGAGAUCUUGCUCAGGUACAAGUUCUGUUUUUCUGGUUUUUCUAUGGGCAGUAAUUUCUAACUGUUGCUUUCAUAUCUGUGGAUGAGUGCCAUAUUUGCCUCAUACAUAUGUUGAUUUGUAAUUCUUGCAUGCUAAACCUCAGCCUUAUUCAAAUGCUGUAGAUUUGCAGUGAGGAGUAUGACAAGGGAACAUGCAUGCUCUUGGGAAUUCAAGCGGCAGUUUCAGUGAUGGCAUUGGACCUCAGCAUGGUAGUCUUUCUUGUUCUUGGUAAAAAAAUCAUAUAUCUUUGUUGUUUCAGAAGAUAACCGUGUGUGGCGACAACAUAAAUGCUGAAUCUUGAUCUUAGAAGUGUUUGAGGGUUCAUCGAUGAAUGGAUAUACUUUCUUUUUCAGGUACUUGGAAUUGCACAUGGGCUUAAUCUUCUUCUGGGGCUGGACUUGCCCACCUGCAUAUUUUUGACUGCUGUGGAUGCUGUAUUAUUUCCAUUUUUCGGUGCCUUUCUGGUGAGUCAUUGUACCGUGUUUAGUAUGCAUCUUUAGAUAGAUAUGGAUCACUUAUUUUCACUAAUUUAUACUGCCAGGACAAACACAAAGGAUAUUACCCAUCCAUAUGUGUGGCAGGCUCUUUGUUACUCUUCUAUUUUUUGGGGGUGCUCAUUAGUCAACCAGAGGCUCCUCUUUCAUUGAAUGGAAUGCUGAUGAAGAUAAGCGAGGAAAGUGCAUUUGCUCUGAUGAGUCUUCUUGGUGCAAGCAUUAUGCCUCACAAUUUCUAUAUGCAUUCUUCCAUUGUUCUGGUACUUCUUUCUCUCCUCUUUCUUCCCUCCUUUUGGUGUAUGAGUAUUAUUAUACUGAGAUGACUUUGCAAUGAAUGAGAACCAUAUCAUUGAGCUAUAUGCUUCCUUUAUAUGCCUGGUGGUUUCUUUUAUUUUCACCUAUGCAUCUCAUGGAUGUACAGAUUAAGUGAAGAUGGAGUUUGGUAAUCAUAUGAUGUUAUUUCCCACUGUUAUUCUUGUACAAGUUUGUGGUCAACCGCAAAUAUUACAUCCUGUUAUUCGUGAUGAAACCCCGGUCUUACAGUGGUUUCAUAGUAGAUUCUAUCAUGAUUCUGAACUAUGUUCCUGGAAUUUUUUUUGCAGCAUCAUCCUCGAUCCCCCAAUGUUUCUAAGAGCACCUUAUGCUAUGAAAACUUCAUUGCCAUUUUAUGCAUCUUUAGUGGCAUAUAUAUGGUGAAUUAUGUGCUCAUGAACUCAGCUGCUAAUGUGUUCCACAGUACUGGCCUUGUUUUGCUUACAUUUCCGGAUGCAUUGUCACUCAUGGAGCAGGUACUGCUCUUUUUAACGUUUCAUCAUCUUCAACCCUGAUGGUAAGUUCAAUGUUGCAUCAUUAUAUUCUUGGAAUAAUUUAUGUGUAGGUGUUUCGCAAUCCAGUGGCACCCUUGUUCUUUGUAGUGAUUUUGUAUCUUUCGAGUCAAAUCUCAUUAUUAACUUGGAAUCAUGGCGGGCAAGUAGUUGUGCAUGAUUUCCUCCUACUUGACGUACCUAACUGGCUCCAGCGAGCCACAACCAGAAUUGUUGCCAUUGUUUCGGCACUUUGUUGUGUAUGGACUUCUGGAGUUGAAGGAGCAUACCAGUUGCUCAUAUUUUCUCAAGUUAUGGUAGCCCUUCUGCUACCAUCUUCUGUCAUUCCACUAUUCCGUGUGGCAUCAUCGAAGGCCAUAAUGGGCGGCCAUAAAAUAUCUCAAGUCCUGGAGUUCUUGGCAGUUAUCGCAUUCUCGGGGAUGCUGGGAUUGAAGAUGAUGUUUGUGGUAGAAAUGAUUUUCGGGGAUAGUGAUUGGGUCGGCGAUUUGCAGUGGAAUAUGGGCAGCAGUUCAUCUCUCCCUUAUGUUGUUCUUAUUCUAACGGCUUUUACAUCAUUCUGUUUCAUGCUUUGGCUAGCAACUUCACCGUUGAAAUCUGCAACCCAUAAAGACGCUCAGGCAUGGAACUGGGAUUCAAAGCAAAGUUUGUCCAAGCCAUCUGUACGUAGAGAUGAAGAAAGGUAUGUUCAUAAGCAAGAAGCGGUACCAGUCCUCGUGAAGCCCUUUGAGGAUAGAACUGUUGUAAAUGCUGAUCCACAUUUACCUGAAACUGGUUUGGAUUUUCGCAAGGAUAUUCGUUCGAGAACUGUAGUAGAAAAUCAGUCUGAUGUGAAAAUUUUGAAUCCUCUGAGACCAGAUCAGUCUGAUGUGAAAUGUCUGAGUCCUCUGAGACCAGAUCAGUCUGAUGUGAAAAAUCUGAGUCCUCUGAGACCAGAUCAGUCUGAUAUGAAGCUUCCUAGUCCUGUGGAACCAAAUCUGGAGUCGGCACCUUCAGUAGAGCCGAUGUCAGUGUCAAAGGCAGCAAAUUUAGCUGUUACUGAACUUGAAUUACUUGAACCUAUUGAAAAAACUGUGAGCAUGCACGGUGAUCCUUGUGAACCAGAAAAGGAGCAAAACAAGGGAGUUACCUGGGAGCCUGAAGAGCCAUCCAAAGGGAUUCCUGCGAGUAUUCCAUCUUUGACAUCUGAUGGUCCAUCAUCAUUCAGGAGUCUCAGCGGAAAAAGCGACGAUGGUGGAUAUGGUGCUGGAAGUCUUUCAAGAUUGGCAGGGUUGGGUAGGGCUGCCAGACGUCAAUUAGCUACAGUUCUGGAUGAGUGCUGGGGCCAGUUGUAUGAUUUCAGGGGUCAAGAAACGCAGGAUGCCAAGAAUCGAAGGCUCGAUCUGUUACUUAUUGAUUCAAAGCUUUCAUUUUCCUGCCUGAAAGUUGACUCUCCUAUAAUGGAAGGAUCUGGAUCUUUCAGGAGUUCAAGUUUCUGUGAUUCUCCUCGUGAUUAUGGUGCUCGAGGAGGAUCUUACUCGUUAUUAUCCAACCGCUCUCACUUACUAGAUUCACUUUCUGUAGCCAGCUCGGGUAUGGUGGAUCCUUCUGAAAGGCGGUAUUCUAGUCUGCGAACUUUAUCGUCUGCUGAUGGUUGGGGGAGUACGCAAUCAGCUGCAGUACCUGUGAUGGACCCUUCUGAAAGGCAGUAUUCUAGUUUGCGAAAUCUACCAUCUUCUGAUGGUUGGGGAUAUGGUCAGCCAGCCACGAAUGUGAUGGACCCUUCUGAAAGGCGUUACUCAAGUGUACGAAAUUUACCAUCUUCUGAUGGUUGGCAGAAUACUCAGGCAGCUAGAAAUGUGAUAGACACUUCUGAAAGGCGUUAUUCUAGUUUGCGAACACUAGCAUCUUCUGAUUAUCAGAUUGCUUCCAUUGCUAACCGGAUUGCCGAGGAGAGGAGUUCCAGUGACUUGAAUGGCGGAAUGGAAUCUAUGUCGCCAAUUUCUUCAGCCAUGGGUAUGCAGAGUUACAGGGAUCCACUGGCAAGUCCUUUGGGGCAGAGAUUACAGAGCGGAUUAAGCUCUCUACAAGCAACGGGAUAUCAGAAUUUCGCAGUAUCCAGAAAUAGCUCAUUACAGUCUGAAACACAGUACUAUUAUGCAGGACAGACGACUGCUUCAAAGCAGUACCACAGUUUACCUGACAUUUCAGGAAUUGCUGGGCCUUACAGAGAGAUGUUUCUAUCUAGAAACCCUACUCAGCCGGACGGUUCUGGUGGUUUUACUUCCUCCUUGGGCAGAACGGCUUACGAGAACUCCUCUUUGUAUCCAAAUACCGGAAUAGGAAAUGCAAGCUCUUUGGAGUUUAACAACGUGUCCAGAAGUUAUGGAGGUGUUUUUCCAUUUCCUACAACCACUACUAGUACUACUACCACAGGCACAGGAUCUCUUUGGUCCUCGUCUAAUCCGAUUGCUCGUGAAGCUAGUUCCAUUGUGGAUGCGGAGGCGAAACUUCUUCGGUCUUUCAGAUCCUGCAUUGUCAAGCUACUGAAACUGGAAGGCUCGAAUUGGUUGUUUAGACAGAACGAUGGAGCUGACGAGGACUUGAUUGAUCGUGUGGCUGCACGUGAGAAGUUCUUAUACGAAGCUGAGGUGAGAGAGAUGGCCCCGAAGAAUGAUGAGAAGCACAGUUCCUCCCCGAAGAACGAUGAGGCCAGCAUCGCCAAUAUCUUCGUUUCUUCAAUUCCUCACUGCGGAGAUGGCUGUGUUUGGAAGGCGGAUAUGAUAGUUAGCUUUGGAGUUUGGUGCAUUCACAGGAUUCUCGAUUUGUCGCUAAUGGAAAGCCGGCCCGAGCUAUGGGGGAAGUACACCUAUGUCCUCAAUCGCCUUCAGGUUAGUUUCCUAUGAACUAUUUGUCUAAAAAUGCUUGAACUUCGUUGAGAUUCCUUCCUAAUGAAAGAAAUGUGCUUUUUGGUCCUUCCUAAUGAAAGAACUGUGCUUUUUGUGCCUUCCUAAUGAAAGAAAUGUGCUUUUCGUUGGGUACAGGGGAUUGUGGAGCCGGCAUUCUUGAGACCAAGGACUCCAAUGCAGCCAUGCUUCUGCCUGCAACUCUCUGCAGGGCACCAGCAGAGGUUGUUGGCCCAGCCACCAUCGAACAACGGUAUGCUACCACCCAUUGCGAAACCAGGGAAAGGGAUAUGCACAACUGGGGCAAUGGUCCUAGAGAUGAUCAAGGAUGUCGAGAUAGCGAUUUCGUGCAGGAAAGGCCGGUCGGGGACUGCUGCCGGGGAUGUUGCAUUCCCAAAGGGAAAAGAGAACCUGGCAUCGGUCUUGAAACGGUACAAGCGACGCCUUUCGAACAUGCCGGUGGGGAAGUGAAGUAAAAUGACAAAAUGAGAAGGCCUCGCAGAUAAUGUUUUGAAGUUGGUGGGUUAUAACUGAGAUUAUUGUUAAGAAAUACUUGUUUUUUUGGUCUCUGGUCUCGUCUUUUGUCCUUACGGUUAGUCUUUUAUAUAUGGCAGGUGUACAUAGGUUUUACCAGAGAGUAUUGUAGCAAUAAAGAGCUGUUGAUGGACUGAAAUAGCAUAUCUGAGAGUGUUGGAACUGUAGAACUUCAUACUAGUACUUGCCCGAGCUUAUGCUAAGGCUUCGUUUGGUAGGUGGAAUGGUGGAUGAAAUUUGAAUGAGAAUUGGGAAGUUUGCUUUCAUAAUAUACUUUGUUAGAAUCUAAAAAUUUCAUCCGGUUGAAAAAUGUU
RNAcentral lists this long non-coding RNA (15926 nucleotides) under Linum usitatissimum (flax). RNAcentral's name for it is "long non-coding RNA (LUSI_LNC007213)". The record is from RNAcentral. Lineage: Eukaryota; Viridiplantae; Streptophyta; Magnoliopsida; Malpighiales; Linaceae.